Asterias rubens (European starfish) is the source of this 233-nucleotide long non-coding RNA. RefSeq lists it as uncharacterized. The record is from RefSeq and is a predicted model, not a curated record. Lineage: Eukaryota; Metazoa; Echinodermata; Asteroidea; Forcipulatida; Asteriidae. The transcript is spliced from 4 exons.
ACCAGGCUAGUACAACUGAUGCAACGGAGAGAACCACAACAACGGAAACGGAUUCGUCCACCAUGAACCAGGCUAGUACAACUGAUGCAACGGAGAGAACCACAACAACGGAAACAGAUUCGUCCACCAUAAACCAGGCUAGUACAACUGAUGCAACGGAGAGAACCACAACAACGGAAACAGAUUCGUCCACCAUGAACCAGGCUAGUACAACUGAUGCAACGGAGAGAAUC